Long non-coding RNA from Solanum tuberosum (potato), 692 nucleotides. RefSeq lists it as uncharacterized. The transcript has 2 exons. Lineage: Eukaryota; Viridiplantae; Streptophyta; Magnoliopsida; Solanales; Solanaceae. The record is from RefSeq and is a predicted model, not a curated record.
CGUCACUUCAAAUUCCCAGGAGUUAUGACCGUUUCAUCUCCAAUACCGCUACACAUCUUUUCAGAAAUCAAAAGUCUGAAAUAGAUCUCCUCAGUAAUUAGGAUUCAUAUACUGAUCCAAGCGCAACUUCUACUUGUGGAGAUGGGUCGCUUCAAGAAUUACGGCCAUGCUCUCGGGCCUGUGAGCUUGAAGUACUUUUAAAUGGCAUCAAGAAUUGAUCUUCAGGUUUCCAAAGAUUUGUUGUAAGGACCUCGAGGAGAAUAUAAGAUUUAUCUAAAAUGGCUGAGCAAACGAAGCAGGAAUUGCUAACCAAAUGAAGGAUGCGUCCAAAUAGUUUGUCUUUCAAGAACCAGUUAUUUGGAAACACGUGUAAGGAUAGGUACAUAGUUCUCUUUUUUUUUUUUUUCCUAAACCAAUAUACUGGAAAAAAAAAUAGAGUCCUUUUUCCUGUGUGACUACGAUGCCUAGAGGAUAAUUUCACUUUUCUAAUGAGGCUUUGUUGCAUAUGGUGGUGUAGAAGUGAUCUCAGUAGUGAUGCCAUAAGAAAAUGAUGGUUGCCAUCGUAUGUAUGAACUCGAUGAUUUCUUGUAGCAAAUUGAAUUUUUCAAUCAACAACCUAACUUUUUCCCAGAGUUGUUAUGUGCCAUGAUGUUAAUAUGAGCUAUAAAAAUGAAUUCCCUUAAAAUUAUUUA